CAGCUCCCGUAAGAGCUCGGAUGAAAUCAAAAAGACGGUUGACCAUCGUAGAAAUAUGGAUGGAGUCGGGUUGCUGUAGAAAUUUAUCCUUGGGGAAGUUCGACCGUGGACGAAGUCUGGAAAAUUCAGAUUGGAAUCUAUCAUGGCUGGAAGAGAUCUAGAAGAGGUCCGGAGAACGGUCGAUCAUUGUAGAAGGUUGGUAGAUAGUGAAGCCCGGAGAGCAUUUGAAGUAGUUCGGUGGAUGACUGAAGAAGUUCGUCAUUGGAGAAGUCCGGAAGGGCAUUAUCAUAGCUCAGACAGUUGGGGAAGUUUAGAAAAGCAUCGCACCAGGUC
This 333-nucleotide long non-coding RNA is filed under the name Elaeis guineensis (African oil palm). Its description in RNAcentral is "long non-coding RNA (EGUI_LNC059368)". The record is from RNAcentral. Lineage: Eukaryota; Viridiplantae; Streptophyta; Magnoliopsida; Arecales; Arecaceae.